This 1001-nucleotide small RNA is filed under the name Pongo abelii (Sumatran orangutan). RNAcentral describes it as "processed transcript". Lineage: Eukaryota; Metazoa; Chordata; Mammalia; Primates; Hominidae. The record is from RNAcentral.
CCUGUGGGCGCGUCGUCUGGUCCUUCUACGUCGCUGACUCGUGACCUGACCGAUACCUUCCGAUACUCCUCCAAAGAACUCUUGGAUUCAAGUAAACAAAUAUCCAUUAAUACAAGUUAAGUAUGUUCCAGGCGCUGUGUGUUCCAGGUACCGUUAACAAAAGCGGGUUACUACUGUUAAGACUUCCUUCAUGCCCUGGCGCCUCUGCUCAGCCAGUUCCCUUCGCCUAGGAGGACCUCUCUACACCACUCCGCUAUAUUCCCUCCCCGGAAUUCCUUCCCAACCUUCAAGGACCAUCUGCCCCAACUAGUGGCGAACAUCGAGGCUGUCGUGACUGUGUAGAUACUUAUUUGACCUGCUCCCUUGGCAAACACUUGAAACGCAAUACAUGUUUGUGGAACUGAACAUAGCCUGUGCAUGCAGCAAGGCUUCUUUCCCUGGAAUCGCUAGCCCUUCCUCCAACACAGCGACCAGCCGGCGAGAAUCCCAACUCCUCGACUCCGGAAAUGAUUUGGGAGACUGAACUUCCGAACGUCGCAAUCAUAGAUUUGGGCGGGCUAGGAGGGUUUGGGUCUUCAGGUCACAUCUGCACGGAGAGACCUCCGGCCUCCGUUGGUCGGUGCUUCCGCUCCGGAUACCCUUCCGGAUCUCAGGUUUUACACAUCCAUAAGUAGACCUUUUUGGAGCCUCACCAGCCAAUUCAAUGGCGUCCUCUUCUACUGUGCCUCUGGGAUUUCACUAUGAAACAAAGUAUGUUGUUCUCAGCUACUUGGGACUCCUCUCUCAAGAGAAGCUGCAAGAGCAACAUCUUUCCUCACCCCAAGGGGUUCAACUAGAUAAAGCUUCACAAUCUCUGGAUCAAGAAAUUUUAUUAAAAGUUAAAACUGAAAUUGAAGAAGAGCUAAAAUCUCUGGACAAAGAAAUUUCUGAAGGCCAGUGACAUAUCAGGCAUUUCGGGAAUGUACACUGGAGACCACAGUUCAUGCCAGCGGCUGGAAUAA